This 291-nucleotide ribosomal RNA is filed under the name Prymnesium parvum. RNAcentral describes it as "partial Bacterial small subunit ribosomal RNA". It matches the Rfam family "Bacterial small subunit ribosomal RNA", at positions 1126 to 1416 of the family's 1533-position model. Lineage: Eukaryota; Haptophyta; Prymnesiales; Prymnesiaceae. The record is from RNAcentral.
UUAAGUUGGGCACUCUAAGGAGACUGCCGGUGACAAACCGGAGGAAGGUGGGGAUGACGUCAAGUCAUCAUGCCCCUUACACUCUGGGCUACACACGUGCUACAUUGGGUAGAACAAUAAGUUGCUAAGUUGCGAAACCAAGCGAAUCUUCAAAUCUACUCUAAGUUCGGAUUGUAGGCUGCAACUCGCCUACAUAAAGAUGGAAUCGCUAGUAAUCGCUGGUCAGCUACACAGCGGUGAAUCCGUUCCCGGGCCUUGUACACACCCCCCGUCACACCAUGGGAGCGGGUU